UACGGAGGAUCCGAGCGUUAUCCGGAUUUAUUGGGUUUAAAGGGAGCGUAGGUGGAUUGUUAAGUCAGUUGUGAAAGGCCGGGGCUCAACCCCGGGACUGCAUUGGAAACUGUAAAGCUAGAGUGCCGGAGAGGUAAGCGGAAUUCCUAGUGUAGCGGUGAAAUGCGUAGAUAUUAGGAGGAACACCAGUGGCGAAGGCGGCUUACUGGACGGCAACUGACGCUGAGGCUCGAAAGCGUGGGGAGCAAACAGG
RNAcentral lists this ribosomal RNA (253 nucleotides) under uncultured bacterium. RNAcentral's name for it is "partial 16S ribosomal RNA". It matches the Rfam family "Bacterial small subunit ribosomal RNA", at positions 524 to 776 of the family's 1533-position model. The record is from RNAcentral.